Molecule: unclassified non-coding RNA, 200 nt
Filed under: Sebacina sp.
Lineage: Eukaryota; Fungi; Basidiomycota; Agaricomycetes; Sebacinales; Sebacinaceae
Description: partial internal transcribed spacer 2
Source: RNAcentral
UUAAGUUCAGCGGGUAGUCCUACUCGAUUUGAGGUCAAGUUGUCAGAUGAUUGUCCGAAGACGGUUUGAAGCACAGAGCUCCUGAUCAGUCACCCUCUUGCGAGGUGCCGGCGAAGACACUUAUCACGCCGUACUAUGUCCAACCUGGAGUUGCACUAAUGCAUUUGAGGCAAGCUGCAGUAAAGCAGCAAUGCCCAAGU